AGAGUUUGAUCCUAGCUCAGGAUGAACGCUGGCGGCGUGGAUAAGGCAUGCAAGUCGAACGAACUUCAUUUUUCCAGAGAUAAGAUUUAUAUCAAAUCAAAGGUUGCUUGAAGUUAGUGGCGAACGAGGUAGUAAAACAUAGGAACUUCCCCCUAAGUCGUGAAUAAUUCAUUGAAAGAUGAACUAAUACACGAUAGUCUCUCAGGAGUAAAGUCAAAUUUAUUUUUGUGCGCUUAGGGAAAGGCCUGUGAAGUAUCAGCUUGUUGGUAGUAUAAAAGACUACCAAGGCUAUGACGCUUAGGGGAGCUGAGAGGCUGACCCCCACCGAUGGGACUGAGACACGGCCCAUACACCUACGGGUGGCUGCAGUCGAGAAUCUUCCGCAAUGGACGAAAGUCUGACGGAGCGACGCCGCGUGAUUGAUGAAGCUUUUCGGAGUGUAAAGAUCUUUUAUGAGGGAAGAAGUUUAUUGACGGUACCUCAUGAAUAAGGGGCUCCUAAUCUCGUGCCAGCAGGAGCGGUAAUACGAGAGCCCCGAGCGUUAUCCGGAAUUAUUGGGCGUAAAGGGUGCAUAGGUGGUUUUAUUAGUCGUUUGUUAAAUCUCUAGGCUCAACCUAGAAACUGCGAGCGAAACGGUAAGACUAGAGAAUGUGAGAGGUAUAGGGAACUCAUGGCGUAGGGGUGAAAUCCGUUGAUAUCAUGGGGAACACCAAAAGCGAAGGCACUAUACUGGCACAUAUCUGACACUCAAGCACGAAAGCGUGGGUAGCGAAUGGGAUUAGAUACCCCAGUAGUCCACGCCCUAAACGAUGAUCUCUAGUCUUUCGGAGUAUCGACCCUCUGAGAGACGUAGCUAACGCGUUAAGAGAUCCGCCUGGGAACUACGGCCGCAAGGCUAAAACUCAAAGGAAUAGACGGGGACUUGCACAAGCAGUGGAUUAUGUGGUUUAAUUCGAUGAUAAACGAAGAACCUUACCAAGGUUAGACAUCUACUUGAAAGCUCUAAGAAACUAGAGCCCUCGCAAGACAAGUUGACAGGUGUUGCAUGGCCGUCGUCAGUUCGUGAUUUGAAUUGUUCCCUUAAGUGGGGUAACGAACGCAACCCUCAUCGUGUGUUAUACGUGUCACACGAGACUGCCUCGACCAGAGAGUGUAAUUAUUUAUAAUUAUUUUUUCUGGUCGGGGAGGAAGGAGAGGAUGACGCCAGGUCAGCAUGACCCUUGAUACCUUGGGCUACACACAUAAUACAAUCGCCAUCACAACGGGCAGCGACGGGGUAACCCUGAGCGAAUCCUUAUAAAAGUGGCGUCAGUUCGGAUUGGGGGCUGCAACUCGACCCCAUGAAGUUGGAAUUGCUAGUAAUCGCGGGUCAGAUAUACCGCGGUGAAUACGUUCUCAAGUCUUGUACUCACCGCCCGUCAAUUCAAGGGAGCCGGGAGUGCUCGAAAUCUCUCCAUACGGAGGGCCUACAGUAAGCUCGGUGACAGGGAAUAAGUCGUAACAAGGCACGGGUAGCGGAAGCUGUUCGUG
This 1530-nucleotide ribosomal RNA is filed under the name Candidatus Saccharimonadota bacterium. RNAcentral's name for it is "bacterial SSU rRNA". It matches the Rfam family "Bacterial small subunit ribosomal RNA". The record is from RNAcentral. Lineage: Bacteria; Candidatus Saccharimonadota.